This 253-nucleotide ribosomal RNA is filed under the name uncultured bacterium. Its description in RNAcentral is "partial 16S ribosomal RNA". It matches the Rfam family "Bacterial small subunit ribosomal RNA", at positions 524 to 776 of the family's 1533-position model. The record is from RNAcentral.
UACGUAGGGUGCAAGCGUUAAUCGGAAUUACUGGGCGUAAAGCGUGCGCAGGCGGUCUUGCAAGUCAGAUGUGAAAUCCCCGGGCUUAACCUGGGAACUGCAUUUGUGGCUGCAAGGCUGGAGUACGGUAGAGGGGGAUGGAAUUCCGCGUGUAGCAGUGAAAUGCGUAGAUAUGCGGAGGAACACCGAUGGCGAAGGCAGGUCUCUGGGCUGACACUGACGCUCAUGCACGAAAGCGUGGGGAGCAAACAGG